CCUACGGGAGGCAGCAGUGGGGAAUCUUGCGCAAUGGGCGAAAGCCUGACGCAGCAACGCCGCGUGCGGGAAGAAGGCUUUCGGGCUGUAAACCGCUUUCAGCAGGAACGAAAAUGACGGUACCUGCAGAAGAAGGAGCGGCCAACUAUGUGCCAGCAGCCGCGGUGAUACAUAGGCUUCAAGCGUUGUCCGGAUUUAUUGGGCGUAAAGAGUUCGUAGGCGGUCAAGUAAGUCGGGUGUGAAAAUUCUGGGCUCAACCCAGAGACGCCACCCGAUACUGCUUAACUUGAGUUCGAUAGGGGAGUGGGGAAUUCCUAGUGUAGCGGUGAAAUGCGCAGAUAUUAGGAGGAACACCGGUGGCGAAGGCGCCACUCUGGAUCGAUACUGACGCUGAGGAACGAAAGCAUGGGUAGCAAACAGGAUUAGAUACCCUGGUAGUCCAUGCCGUAAACGGUGGGCACUAGGUGUGGGUUUCUAUUAACGAAAUCCGCGCCGUCGCUAACGCAUUAAGUGCCCCGCUGGGGAUACGGUCGCAAGACUAAAACUCAAAUGAAUUGACGGCUGAGACGNGCGAGACGACGACGAGGAGAG
Molecule: ribosomal RNA, 591 nt
Filed under: uncultured bacterium
Lineage: Bacteria
Description: bacterial SSU rRNA
Rfam family: Bacterial small subunit ribosomal RNA
Source: RNAcentral